This 409-nucleotide ribosomal RNA is filed under the name uncultured bacterium. RNAcentral describes it as "bacterial SSU rRNA". It matches the Rfam family "Bacterial small subunit ribosomal RNA", at positions 28 to 429 of the family's 1533-position model. The record is from RNAcentral.
GAUGAACGCUAGCGAUAGGCCUAACACAUGCAAGUCGAGGGGCAUCACAUGAAGUAGCAAUACGGAUGGUGGCGACCGGCGCACGGGUGAGUAACACGUAUGCAACCUGCCUUCAACAAGGGGAUAACCCGUUGAAAGACGGACUAAUACCCUAUAACACAGGGGUCCCGCAUGGGAAUAUUUGUUAAAGGACAACCGGUUGAAGAUGGGCAUGCGUUCCAUUAGCUAGUUGGCGGGUAACGGCCCACAAGGCAACGAUGGAUAGGGGAACUGAGAGGUUUAUCCCCCACACUGGUACUGAGACACGGACCAGACUCCUACGGGAGGCAGCAGUGAGGAAUAUUGGUCAAUGGACGCAAGUCUGAACCAGCCACGUCGCGUGAAGGAAGACGGCCCUACGGGUUGUAAA